AGUUACUCAAAGUAAAAUCCUACUUCAGCUAAUACCUUUUUCCCCCCUAGAAAAAGCUUGUUUCGAAGAAAGACCGCAGAAAAUGCAGCUGGCGAUUCAUUCUUGACCUCACUCAUCCAGUGGAAGAUGGAAUCCUUAGUUCUGAGAAUUUUGGCCAGUUUCUGAAGGAGAGGAUGAAAGUUAAUGGCAAAACUGGAAACUUUGGGAGUAUAGUUCAGAUUGAACAGUUGAAGAACAAGAUCAUGGUAACAUCAGAGAAGCAGUUCU
Molecule: long non-coding RNA, 267 nt
Organism: Protopterus annectens (West African lungfish)
Lineage: Eukaryota; Metazoa; Chordata; Ceratodontiformes; Protopteridae
Exons: 2
Source: RefSeq, a predicted model, not a curated record